Molecule: ribosomal RNA, 355 nt
Filed under: uncultured bacterium
Lineage: Bacteria
Description: bacterial SSU rRNA
Rfam family: Bacterial small subunit ribosomal RNA
Source: RNAcentral
AGGGAAGAAAUACUGACCAUAGGGUCAGCAGACGGUACUAGACUAAGAAGCCCCGGCUAACUACGUGCCAGCAGCCGCGGUAAUACGUAGGGGGCAAGCGUUAUCCGGAUUUACUGGGUGUAAAGGGAGCGUAGACGGCAGCGCAAGUCUGAAGUGAAAUGCCAGGGCUUAACCCUGGAACUGCUUUGGAAACUGUGCAGCUAGAGUGCAGGAGAGGUAAGUGGAAUUUCUAGUGUAGCGGUGAAAUGCGUAGAUAUUAGGAGGAACACCAGUGGCGAAGGCGGCUUACUGGACUGUAACUGACGUUGAGGCUCGAAAGCGUGGGGAGCAAACAGGAUUAGAUACCCUGGUAGUC